This 549-nucleotide long non-coding RNA is filed under the name Homo sapiens (human). RNAcentral's name for it is "HSALNT0389524". Lineage: Eukaryota; Metazoa; Chordata; Mammalia; Primates; Hominidae. The record is from RNAcentral.
AACAGAAAUUUAUUAUCUCAUAGAUCUGGAGACUAGAAGUUCUAGAUCACGUUGUUAGAGUUGGUUUCUUCGACAACUGUGAGAAACCUUAUGUUCCAUGCCUCUCCCCUGGCUUCUGGUGGUUUGCUGGUCAUCUUUGGCAUACUUUGGCUUGUAGGUGCAUCACCUGGAUCUCUGCCUUCAUGUUCACAUGGUGUUCUACCUGUGUGCGUAUCUGUGGCCAAAUUUCCCCUUUUUAUAAGGAUACCAGGCAUAUUGGAUUAGGGUUCCUCUCUACUCCAGUAGGACCUCAUCUUCACUAAUUACAUCUGCAAUAACCCUUUCCAAAUAAGGUCACAUUCUGAGGAACUAGAGCAAUCUGAAGAGGAUGUAAGUCAGUUUGAUUCCAAGUUUACACGUCAGACACCUGUCGACAGCCCAGAUGACGCAACUCUCAGUGAAAGUGCCAAUCAGGUCUUUUUGAUGCCACUGCGAGAACGGGAACAAUGGAACAGGCCCUCACCAAAUGCCAAAUGUGCUACCACCUUGAUUUUGGAUUUCCCAGCCUCC